This 553-nucleotide ribosomal RNA is filed under the name uncultured euryarchaeote. RNAcentral's name for it is "bacterial SSU rRNA". It matches the Rfam family "Archaeal small subunit ribosomal RNA", at positions 325 to 879 of the family's 1478-position model. Lineage: Archaea; Methanobacteriati; Methanobacteriota. The record is from RNAcentral.
AUGGGGUGCAGCAGGCGCGAAACCUCCGCAAUGCGGGCAACCGCGACGGGGGGACCCCCAGUGCCGUGGCAUCGCCACGGCUUUUCCGGAGUGUAAAAAGCUCCGGGAAUAAGGGCUGGGCAAGGCCGGUGGCAGCCGCCGUGGUAAUACCGGCGGCCCGAGUGGUGGCCGCUAUUAUUGGGCCUAAAGCGUCCGUAGCCGGGCCCGUAAGUCCCUGGCGGAAUCCCACGGCUCAACCGUGGGGCUUGCUGGGGAUACUGCGGGCCUUGGGACCGGGAGAGGCCGGGGGUACCCCUGGGGUAGGGGUGAAAUCCUAUAAUCCCAGGGGGACCGCCAGCGGCGAAGGCGCCCGGCUGGAACGGGUCCGACGGUGAGGGACGAAGGCCAGGGGAGCGAACCGGAUUAGAUACCCGGGUAGUCCUGGCUGUAAAGGAUGCGGGCUAGGUGUCGGGCGAGCUUCGAGCUCGCCCGGUGCCGAAGGGAAGCCGUUAAGCCCGCUGCCUGGGGAGUACGGCCGCAAGGCUGAAACUUAAAGGAAUUGGCGGGGGAGCAC